Molecule: ribosomal RNA, 603 nt
Filed under: Triticum aestivum (bread wheat)
Lineage: Eukaryota; Viridiplantae; Streptophyta; Magnoliopsida; Poales; Poaceae
Description: partial small subunit ribosomal RNA
Source: RNAcentral
AUGGAAGGCCACGUUAUGCCGUGGUGCCAAGCGUACAAGCGUCUCCACCAACUCGGCGACUUGCCACGUUCAUCGCGGCAAUGCACGCUGAGUUUGGCCAGGACGAGUUCGACGGCCUCCUCCACCGUCUGCACCACCUCAAGCAGAUGGGCACCAUCACUGACUACCGCACGGCCUUCGAAUUGUUUAUGUACCAUCGCGGAGUUCGUCAUGCUGGAUCCAACCUUGAAUCAAAAAUUCUUCGUCUCUCAGUUCGUCAAUGGUUUGCGUGACGAGGCACGCAUGGGUGUUCAUCAGCAUGCACCAACAAGUGAGUCGAGAGCGGCUGCCACGCAUCACGCAUCCAGGAGGAGGAAGCGGAGCACAAUCGUCCACGGGGUCGCCCUCUGGUGUUCGCGCGUGUUCCGCCUCCACCAUCGAUGCCAGUGGUCACGGUUGGGCCGGUGCAGCCAUGAAUUUAUGGCGCCAAACGAGGCCUGGCGACUUUGGCCACAAGCGGCAACUUUGGGAGUUUGGGCGAACCAACGACAUGUGUUUCAAGUGCGGCGACAAGUACAGCAAGUACAACCACAUCGGCCAGCUCCUAACCAUCAAGGAUGGUGA